RNAcentral lists this ribosomal RNA (301 nucleotides) under uncultured bacterium. Its description in RNAcentral is "partial 16S ribosomal RNA". It matches the Rfam family "Bacterial small subunit ribosomal RNA", at positions 509 to 807 of the family's 1533-position model. The record is from RNAcentral.
CAGCAGCCGCGGGAAUACAGAGGGUGCGAGCGUUAAUCGGAUUUACUGGGCGUAAAGCGUGCGUAGGCGGCUUCUUAAGUCGGAUGUGAAAUCCCUGAGCUUAACUUAGGAAUUGCAUUCGAUACUGGGAAGCUAGAGUAUGGGAGAGGAUGGUAGAAUUCCAGGUGUAGCGGUGAAAUGCGUAGAGAUCUGGAGGAAUACCGAUGGCGAAGGCAGCCAUCUGGCCUAAUACUGACGCUGAAAUACGAAAGCAUGGGGAGCAAACAGGAUUAGAUACCCCGGUAGUCCCUGUCUCUUAUAC